CNCAUCAGGAAGUGCUGGAGGACGUGGC
RNAcentral lists this non-coding RNA (28 nucleotides) under Homo sapiens (human). Lineage: Eukaryota; Metazoa; Chordata; Mammalia; Primates; Hominidae. The record is from RNAcentral.